RNAcentral lists this transfer RNA (72 nucleotides) under Camelus bactrianus (Bactrian camel). It matches the Rfam family "tRNA". Rfam says of the family: Transfer RNA (tRNA) molecules are approximately 80 nucleotides in length. Their secondary structure includes four short double-helical elements and three loops (D, anti-codon, and T loops). The record is from Rfam by way of RNAcentral. Lineage: Eukaryota; Metazoa; Chordata; Mammalia; Artiodactyla; Camelidae. RNAcentral also lists the same sequence under 2 other names.
GUGGGUAUAACUCAGUGGUAGAGCGUGUGCUUAGCAUGCACCAGGUCCUGGGUUCAAUCCCCAAUAACUGCA